Molecule: long non-coding RNA, 1877 nt
Organism: Gadus macrocephalus (Pacific cod)
Lineage: Eukaryota; Metazoa; Chordata; Actinopteri; Gadiformes; Gadidae
Exons: 11
Source: RefSeq, a predicted model, not a curated record
CUCUAAAUCAUCUCAAAAAUAAUUAGUUACUGCUAGUUUAACUUAAGUAAAUAUGUCUGCCUGUAUUGUUGUUUAAUGUCGGUAGUACUUCUAUGCUAUUCUGUUCAUGGAAUUAUUGCCUGAUGUUUACGUUUAGUUCAUGAAAAUCCUAGGCCUCAAUCAGCCACGUGUCUCAGUUUCAAAUGGCUGCAGUACCGAUGACUGGUUGCUACUUACCCAUGCACUAAUGAUGAUAUAAAUGUUGGUAGGGACAUCUGAGUUUUCAUUGAGAAAAUACCAACUUUUCUUCUUCUUGUCUGAUCACAUGGGAGCAACGCUCAAUGUAGUUCUUUCUCAUGGUAAAACAUCGGCCAUAACUAAGUACUGCGUGUCUUCUUAUUCCCUGCAGUGGCGCCAUGAUGUCGGCAAUGACUCCGUUAUCAUUCACUAGGUUAACCAGCCUGUGUUGGCUUUGUGAUGGGACUCGACCUUUUAUUGAAUCGUGUUUCAGUCACUAGGUAACAUGGCUGCCUUGUAUUUGUGACGGAAAUCACAUUUUCAAUCGGGUACGUUUCUCAACUGCUUAUCCAACAGUAUUUCAAGUCGAGGAUGAUUAUGUAAGAGUAGUGGACAGAAGGGAUUUCUGAUUAAACUUACGCUGAGACUUGUUCAUCUGGCUUUUCUGCAUCUUGGGUGACAGUGACUCGGUACUAACGUCUGAUUGUUCUACAGGAAACAUACUGAACACAUGGUAGCAAGUUUGCUGCGAGUUUUGCUCAGCGAGGUGCUGACUAACUUGAAGAUCUAGCGACGCUACCUCUCCAGGUCAGAUGCUGAUAGUUAUCCAGAUGACAUGAUCGACUCCAAGAAUGGUGCUCAUCAUGUACCAUCCAUCCCCGGAUCGUUGAUGGAUCCAAAGUGGCAGAUGCCUCCCUGAAGUGCAGUCUCCCAAUAAACUAGAAAGCCUCGGGAUGUGCUUUGCAUUGCUUAUCGCAAGGCGAUGGGACUACUUGACUGGAGAGAUGCAGUUUACUCCUGAGCAUGAGGCGGUAGCGGUCAACUUGGUGGCUUGGUCUACUGCCGGUUCCAGAAAGCCUCCAUGGAGAAGAUGACUUGUAUCCUGCCCUUGAAAGCACCUCUAGAAAUAGUAAAAAUUAAAUGGUAACAUGCAUAAAUCCACAGCACCCAGACAUAUAGCGCUUGCAUGGGAGCCAAGUGUGUCUCACUGGCUAUCAUGGUCUAAUGGGUUUCAAAUAGUCUGGCCUUUGAUGAUAAAGGGAUGCUGACAUAACCGUGGAGUCUAAUCUAUUAGCUCUAGCUGAAUGAGGUCUGAGCAACAUUCUGAUGGCAUGUCUCAUCAAUGCCUUGCACUCAUUGUGUUUAUGUUUUUGGUCUAAGAUUUUGAGGAAGCGAAGGCCAUGUCAAAGGUGAGUUUCCAGCAUCUAAAGUGAUUGGCUUUGUGGGUUCUGUGAUGUCACAAAUGUCUGACCUGAACAUAAAUGUGGACAGUCUACUUACUGAGUAACCUGCUAGUUGACACGCUUCUCCUUGAUUCUAAAGUGUGCCUUACAGUUGUUUGCUUUCUUUCCUAAAAGGUGGAUGGCAAAUCGGAUUCAUUGGUUAGUUACUGAUCACGCUAUGCACACAUGUAUUUAUAGGCAACAAAUGAUGAAACUAUUCUGCCAAAUGAUUAAUAUGAUUAUAACCCUACCGUUUCCAUAUUACUCUGAUUGUUGCUACAUUACAAACAGCGCGUUUUCCCUAGUUGGCAUUGUUCUGAUUAUUAUUCCUUUUGCCCUUCAUGUUGAUUCUACUGGUUUCUCAAGUCAACGCAGUGUUUCCCGUAGACCAAUGUGUGGCGCAGCAGUGAAAUGCGGUUAUAGUUUAUAUAUUACGAU